Long non-coding RNA from Myripristis murdjan (pinecone soldierfish), 841 nucleotides. RefSeq lists it as uncharacterized. The record is from RefSeq and is a predicted model, not a curated record. NCBI's taxonomy places the organism in Eukaryota, Metazoa, Chordata, Actinopteri, Holocentriformes, Holocentridae. The transcript is spliced from 3 exons.
CAGGAGCGGGACAGCCCUUUCACCCCGUCAGGACACGGCCAUGCAGCGCAGCACAGCACAGGCACACAGAGCCACCGGCACAAAAAGCACAUUUUCACACAGAUUAGUAGUCAGGCCACGGAUAGUUCCUCACAGUUGUUAAUGAGGCUGCGAAGGGAGCAACACAGAUGUCCACUCUGGUGAGACCAAUUACUUACUGAGCUAAAAAGCCCUCAGCUCUGAGUCAGACCACUGUAGAGAGGCCGACUGCUAUAUGAGAGGUCCUGCUCUGGCAAAAACACAACAGCGAGAAGGUGGUGAGAGAAACUGAAGCGGCUGUGUUGCUCUUCACUGCGGGCAAAGUCAGAUGUGGCAUGUGGCAUCAAACCCAAGAGUCUACUAUCAGUCCAACAAGAGACAACACCAGCUGAUUUCAAUUAAUAAUUGAAAUCAGACAAAUAACCACCCUCAUGUUUUUUUUCAAAGAAGGAUAUACACUUGAUUUGAGUGAGGAUAAUCAAACACUCACUGCUGUGAUGAACUUGGUGCCCUGGGGCUGGAGGUCCUCGUCCUUCUGGAACAUCGCAGGAGACGUGAUGGAGGAGGGGGGCGUGGAGGAGCACAGGAAGGAGGGGGGGUCGUUGUUGUUGUAAGAGUCCAUGACUGUGCUGGAGUGCCCGGGUAUGGUGAGGGUACUCAGCCCUGUUACACUGUCACUGGACGUACACUGGGAGGACGUCUCAGAGCUCUCGAUCUACUAGCAAACUACAGCUGAAUCAGGUGCUUUUCAUUUUGAGGACAGCAAACUUACAGAAGAAAAAAGGGGAAGUGGAGCGUGGAGUCAACAUCGAUGCUGACUGAC